RNAcentral lists this long non-coding RNA (260 nucleotides) under Coturnix japonica (Japanese quail). Its description in RNAcentral is "lncRNA (ENSCJPG00005014864.1)". Lineage: Eukaryota; Metazoa; Chordata; Aves; Galliformes; Phasianidae. The record is from RNAcentral.
AACUGCAUUACAAGCUUCAAUCAUAUCAACUACAGUAGCAUUUCAAGGAGAUGAGUGCUCAUUAACGCUUGCUGGUGGCUCCUUGGCAUGCAGUGUGGAGGUGGCAAGAGAGCAUGAGGUUUAGCGUGGCCCUAAAAGAUGAUCUUCUCACAUUUAAAGACUCAACGUCCAACAACAUCUUAAAAGUCAGUGUUUCAAGGAAAACAUCUGCCCUAAAUUCUUGCACAGGCAUUUUUGCUGUGAGUAAAAAUGAAUAAAGG